RNAcentral lists this ribosomal RNA (274 nucleotides) under uncultured bacterium. RNAcentral's name for it is "partial 16S ribosomal RNA". It matches the Rfam family "Bacterial small subunit ribosomal RNA", at positions 523 to 796 of the family's 1533-position model. The record is from RNAcentral.
AUACGGAGGGUGCGAGCGUUAAUCGGAAUUACUGGGCGUAAAGCGUACGUAGGCGGUUGGUUAAGUUAGAUGUGAAAGCCCCGGGCUUAACCUGGGAACUGCAUUUAAAACUGGCGAACUAGAGUUGAGUAGAGGGGAGUGGAAUUUCAGGUGUAGCGGUGAAAUGCGUAGAGAUCUGAAGGAACACCAGUGGCGAAGGCGACUCCCUGGACUAAAACUGACGCUGAGGUACGAAAGCGUGGGUAGCAAACAGAAUUAGAAACCCCAGUAGUCC